RNAcentral lists this ribosomal RNA (235 nucleotides) under uncultured bacterium. RNAcentral's name for it is "partial 16S ribosomal RNA". It matches the Rfam family "Bacterial small subunit ribosomal RNA", at positions 120 to 354 of the family's 1533-position model. The record is from RNAcentral.
AGUAACCUGCCUUGGAGAGGGGAAUAACACAUCGAAAGAUGUGCUAAUACCGCAUGAAAUGUCUGAAUCGCAUGGUUCUGGACAUCAAAGAUUUAUCGCUCUGAGAUGGACUCGCGUCUGAUUAGCUGGUUGGCGGGGUAACGGCCCACCAAGGCGACGAUCAGUAGCCGGACUGAGAGGUUGGCCGGCCACAUUGGGACUGAGACACGGCCCAGACUCCUACGGAAGGCAGCAG